RNAcentral lists this ribosomal RNA (406 nucleotides) under uncultured bacterium. RNAcentral describes it as "bacterial SSU rRNA". It matches the Rfam family "Bacterial small subunit ribosomal RNA", at positions 542 to 947 of the family's 1533-position model. The record is from RNAcentral.
UAUCCGGAAUUAUUGGGCGUAAAGGGCUCGUAGGCGGUUCGUCGCGUCCGGUGUGAAAGUCCAUCGCUUAACGGUGGAUCCGCGCCGGGUACGGGCGGGCUUGAGUGCGGUAGGGGAGACUGGAAUUCCCGGUGUAACGGUGGAAUGUGUAGAUAUCGGGAAGAACACCAAUGGCGAAGGCAGGUCUCUGGGCCGUCACUGACGCUGAGGAGCGAAAGCGUGGGGAGCGAACAGGAUUAGAUACCCUGGUAGUCCACGCCGUAAACGGUGGAUGCUGGAUGUGGGGACCAUUCCACGGUCUCCGUGUCGGACCAACGCGUUAAGCAUCCCGCCUGGGGAGUACGGCCGCAAGGCUAAAACUCCAAGAAAUUGACGGGGGCCCGCACAAGCGCGGACCUUGCGAUUA